UGCAAGGCCUGCAGUCAGAUCCUUUAUGCCAGUCUUCUGGAGUUUCAAAAAAGACAAAACAAAAAAGUUUCCAGGGUUUUCUCCUCAUCCAGAGACAUGAAACACAAAAAUAUGGAAACCGAAAGCAAACCCACCACGGAGUGCUGGUGAGACUGGCAGGCUCAGCCCAGAGGGCAGAGGCCUGUAGCAGGAGUGCGGACCAAGAGAAAGGUCAGGAUGAGUGACUUGGACACCUUAGGCUUACCUAUGCCCCCUGUCCCUGAAGAUCACUUCCUUGAUUGCAUGAUACCUGAGCUUGAAAGGAUAUUUAGAUACAUUUUAUCCU
RNAcentral lists this long non-coding RNA (325 nucleotides) under Ictidomys tridecemlineatus (thirteen-lined ground squirrel). RNAcentral's name for it is "lncRNA (ENSSTOG00000030858.1)". The record is from RNAcentral. Lineage: Eukaryota; Metazoa; Chordata; Mammalia; Rodentia; Sciuridae.